Molecule: non-coding RNA, 642 nt
Organism: Pelobates cultripes (western spadefoot toad)
Lineage: Eukaryota; Metazoa; Chordata; Amphibia; Anura; Pelobatidae
Source: the annotation of a GenBank genome assembly
GGGAGAGACCACAGGGAGCAGAGAGAGGUAGGAAAUAAAAAGGGGAAGAUGGGGAGAGACCACAGGAAGCAGAUAGAGGUAGGAAAUAAAAAGGGGAAUACUGGGAGAGACCACAGGGAGCAGAGAGAGGUAGGUAAUAAAAAGGGGAAUACUGGGAGAGACCACAGGGAGCAGAGAGAGGUAUGCAAUAAAAAGGGGAAGAUGGGGAGAGACCACAGGGAGCAGAGAGAGGUAGGUAAUAAAAAGGGGAAGAUGGGGAGAGACCACAAGCAGCAGAGAGAGGUAGGAAAUAAAAAGGGGAAUACUGGGAGAGACCACAGGGAGCAGAGAGAGGUAGGUAAUAAAAAGGGGAAUACUGGGAGAGACCACAGGGAGCAGAGAGAGGUGGGAAAUAAAAACGGGAAGAUGGGGAGAGACCACAGGGAGCAGAGAGAGGUAGGAAAUAAAAAGGGGAAGAUGAGGAGGGACCACAGGGAGCAGAGAGAGGUAGGAAAUAAAAAGGGGAAGAUGGGGAGAGACCACAGGGAGCAGAGAGAGGUAGGAAAUAAAAAGGGGAAGAUGGGGAGAGACCACAGGGAGCAGAGAGAGGUAGGAAAUAAAAAGGGGAAGAUGGGGAGGGACCAUAGGGAGCAGAGAGAGGUA